CGAGUCUCUAAAUUUUCUUUCUUAUAUUACAACAUAAAAGUACGUAACAAUAACCUUAAAAUCAGGGCUUAGCUUCAAAAACUUUUCUUGGUAUCACUGUACACUCUGUAGCGAUAUUGUGACAUCCCAAGUGCUAAUUAAGGCAAAUGGGUGUCAGAUACAAAUUUAGAAUAAUGAGUGCAUGAUAAAAUUUAUGCAGUAGAACAAAAU
Molecule: long non-coding RNA, 210 nt
Filed under: Carica papaya (papaya)
Lineage: Eukaryota; Viridiplantae; Streptophyta; Magnoliopsida; Brassicales; Caricaceae
Description: long non-coding RNA (CPAP_LNC010652)
Source: RNAcentral